RNAcentral lists this small RNA (148 nucleotides) under Thermobispora bispora. The record is from RNAcentral. Lineage: Bacteria; Bacillati; Actinomycetota; Actinomycetes; Streptosporangiales; Streptosporangiaceae. RNAcentral also lists the same sequence under 1 other name.
UGUUGCCUCCGGAACGCGUCGUGCAGCGAAGUCCGGUGGGAAUCCGGCGCUGUCCCGCAACUGUGAUGCCCCCUCCGGGGACGAGCCAGGUCGCCUGCACGCCGCGUCGACGUGGCAAGACCCUCGCGGAAAAGGGUGACCCGUCGAU